RNAcentral lists this transfer RNA (71 nucleotides) under Loxodonta africana (African savanna elephant). It matches the Rfam family "tRNA". From Rfam's summary of the family: Transfer RNA (tRNA) molecules are approximately 80 nucleotides in length. The record is from Rfam by way of RNAcentral. Lineage: Eukaryota; Metazoa; Chordata; Mammalia; Proboscidea; Elephantidae.
GCAGUGAUAGUUCAGUGACAGAAUUCUCACUUUCCAUGUGGGAGACCUGGGUUUGACCCCAGGUCAAUGCC